Molecule: ribosomal RNA, 253 nt
Filed under: uncultured bacterium
Lineage: Bacteria
Description: partial 16S ribosomal RNA
Rfam family: Bacterial small subunit ribosomal RNA
Source: RNAcentral
UACAGAGGGGGCAAGCGUUGCUCGGAAUUACUGGGCGUAAAGGGCGCGUAGGCGGCCUGUUAAGUCGAACGUGAAAUCCCCGGGCUCAACCCGGGAACUGCGUCCGAUACUGGCAGGCUUGAAUUCGGGAGAGGGAUGCGGAAUUCCAGGUGUAGCGGUGAAAUGCGUAGAUAUCUGGAGGAACACCGGUGGCGAAGGCGGCAUCCUGGACCGAGAUUGACGCUGAGGCGCGAAAGCCAGGGGAGCAAACGGG